This 77-nucleotide transfer RNA is filed under the name Pseudomonadota bacterium. Its description in RNAcentral is "tRNA-Arg". It matches the Rfam family "tRNA". Rfam says of the family: Transfer RNA (tRNA) molecules are approximately 80 nucleotides in length. Lineage: Bacteria; Pseudomonadati; Pseudomonadota. RNAcentral also lists the same sequence under 6 other names. The record is from RNAcentral.
GCGCCCAUAGCUCAAUUGGAUAGAGCGUUGGCCUCCGGAGCCAAAGGUUGCAGGUUCGAGUCCUGCUGGGCGCACCA